This 1125-nucleotide long non-coding RNA is filed under the name Scleropages formosus (Asian bonytongue). Its description in RNAcentral is "lncRNA (ENSSFOG00015027444.1)". The record is from RNAcentral. Lineage: Eukaryota; Metazoa; Chordata; Actinopteri; Osteoglossiformes; Osteoglossidae.
GAGUGGGCAAGCUGUGGGGCAGAGGGAGCGAGAGGGAAGGGCAGGAGCCUGAGUUGUUUUGUCGCGUGACAGUUCUGUGUUCACAAAUGCAGCAGAGUGAGCUAAUAGCACUUUUUGACUCGUGACACGUCCUUCGUGGCUCAGACGAGUCUUUCCCCAGGUGCUCCAUUCCCAGUGCUUGUUGGGUUGUUUUGGGAACACAUUUUUUGAGCCUAGACACAUUCCCCUUGCCGACGGGUGUUCCGAUGAGAUUUUGAAGCCCGGGAAGUCUAAGAAGUAUGAUAAAUUCCCCACCAUCCCCCACACCUGCAUUUGUCCGAAUUAACAAUCAGGACUUGACUGAAAUUGAGCUACAUUCCGUGGAGUCCAUCAAUGACCUGCACCGCACAAACCCAGAGCAUUUUAAUAAAGGCAGCAUGCAAGCACAACCUGAGGGCCCCCCCAACAAUGGGGUUCUCCAUGACAUACCAACUGUGUGCCAGACCAGCUAUUCCAUGAGGCCUUGGUGGUACAGUGCGCCUUUUGGUUUCUGUACAACCACAGUGUGUCGAUACUCCUGCGGCUGUCUGGCAGUUACCCUGGUGCUGGUGAUUCUCGGCCUCAUCUUCUCCUUCUUAGUCCAGCAGAGCGGUGCUCUGCGUGCACUUUCUCAGGGGAUGAGGGACAGACAGGAGACCACUCUAGAGAUUUCUCGGCUGCUCCAGGAGCUGCAGGAGCUGCGCAGAAACCUGACGGCGAGCAGGGGAUGGCAGGCACGCUGAGGGACAUCAUGGAGCUCCAAGAGCGAUGCCUGUCACAAAGUCACCGACAGAAUCACGAGUGCCAAAAUCAAAGCUCCUGCAAAUGCUUAUUUUGAAUUAAUUGAUGGCCAAUUCACCUUACACAUUACAUUUCAGAACAGCUGGAUCUGUACACAAAUGCAAUUGCUGCAAGGUAUUGCAGCAAAGAUUAUCCAUGUGAUACAACUGUGUGAUGCAACAUUUGAGGUAAUAUGACACAGAUGCUAUGAGUUUCACUAUCAUUCAACUCACUGUCAUAGUAGGACCAUAUUGAAGUUGGAUAUAACAUUUGCAGUUUUUCUUCUGCAUAAAUAAAAAUGCACAAUUAAAAGAAUGGAGUUUUAUC